GAUAAACGCUAGCGGCAGGCUUAACACAUGCAAGUCGAGGGGCAGCAUAGAUUGUAGCAAUACAAUUGGUGGCGACCGGCGCACGGGUGCGUAACGCGUAUGCAACCUACCCGUCACAGGGGGAUAAUCCGGAGAAAUCUGGUCUAAUACCCCAUAACAUAUGGAUCGGCAUCGGUUCAUGUUGAAAUUUUCGGAGGUGACGGAUGGGCAUGCGUAGCAUAGCUUGUUGGUGAGGUAACGGCUCACCAAGGCGACGAUGGUUAGGGGGACUGAGAGGUUUUCCCCCCACACUGGUACUGAGACACGGACCAGACUCCUACGGGAGGCAGCAGUGAGGAAUAUUGGCCAAUGGGCGCAAGCCUGAACCAGCCAUGCCGCGUGCAGGAUGACGGCUCUAUGAGUUGUAAACUGCUUUUGUACGAGGGUAAAGUGGGUUACGCGUAACCUUUUGAAAGUAUCGUACGAAUAAGGAUCGGCUAACUCCGUGCCAGCCGCCGCAGUAA
RNAcentral lists this ribosomal RNA (503 nucleotides) under uncultured bacterium. RNAcentral's name for it is "partial 16S ribosomal RNA". It matches the Rfam family "Bacterial small subunit ribosomal RNA", at positions 28 to 523 of the family's 1533-position model. The record is from RNAcentral.